GCUUCCUUCCUGAGGUCAAUUAGGAACGUGGAGUGAACCAUGGGGACGGGGAAGCAGCCCAACCUCUUCCAUUCUCUAAUCUGAAGUUCGAAGGGCUGCCUGCCGCAGUUUCAUCACAUGGGCAAACCGGGAGCCUGGCCAAUGCUUUGGUCCAAUUUCAUCAGGGCUUCGUGGCAGAUGAACAAAUUCUCCAGAUAUGGUCAGAGGUCCAUGCGCACCGGUCUUUGAUCUCCUGCCCUGUUCCAGGGGAAGAGCAGCGCUGACCACACCAGCCCACUGAGGAAGACUUGCCAUCCCCCCUCAAGACAAACUGCUCUGUCCCUCCACGCCCCUGGCACAGGCGAAUAAACAG
This is a long non-coding RNA of Prionailurus viverrinus (fishing cat), 352 nucleotides long. RefSeq lists it as uncharacterized. The transcript is spliced from 3 exons. NCBI's taxonomy places the organism in Eukaryota, Metazoa, Chordata, Mammalia, Carnivora, Felidae. The record is from RefSeq and is a predicted model, not a curated record.